AUCCUAGGACACCCCAUCCACCCAAACCUGAAUCUAGCCAGGAAAGUUAUCAAAAUGACUGCCUGCAGGCGCUGGCAAUCCAAUGCCAAGUUUCUUGUUUUUGAAAAGAUGUAAGGUUUUGAAGGCAGGCAUUAUUUGCACUAUGAAAGUUGCAAAUCUGUCUUCUGCUACGAGUUUAGGGAAGACACUGCUUUUGCAAGACGGGGUCUCUGCUCCAGCUUCAUGGACCAGGAAAGCUCCAGCCUGGGGACUGCCUGCAGAGUACUACAGGCUGAGGUCAGGGGCUAGCAAAUCCGCCCUCGUCAUUCACAGGGAGCCAAGUUCCUAAAGGCAGCAAGGAGUGUGCUGGAGACAUUCCACUGCACAGGUUGCAUUGCUGCUCAAAGGCUAAGACAACUGUUAAAUAUUUAGUGAAAAACGAAAAGGGGGGAUGAAAUAAAGAGGCCAAGGACUUCAUUAAGUUUCCUUAGACGUGUUUUUUAAUCCAACUUCAAACAAGAUUUUUAAAAAUUCAAUAAUUACUUGGUUUUACUGUAGUCUGUCUCCAUUGGAGUCAUGUGACUUGAGCAUCAUCCUGUGGAUGAAGGCACAUUUCUACAACUGAAGGGGGCGGGAAUGGAUAUUUUGCUUCGGAAAAGAUAUGCAAUGUGGGAAACGCCAUUUACGUGCAGUUAAAGAGGUGGGUCACCGACUUCUCAUGCCUCCAAGAGAAUGCAGUUCCCAACAAACAUUUCCUAGGUCGCAAACCCCACGUGUUGUAGCUCGGCAGGCUCUGCAGUAAACACUUCACCGCCACCCUCAGAGAUGAGAGGCAGCUGGAGCAACCAGCUUAAGGUUAUCAGUCAGCAGCCAGCCGACCUGAUAUUUCCCAGAGGUCCUGACAUUUUGUAACUGAGCUCCGAGACACUGCCUCAUCACACACCACCACUCACAGGGCUCCUAUCUGGGAACCCUACCCAGAGCCCAGAAGAAACGUCUGCCAGCUCCAACUUGAAGGCCAGAGUUGGUCUGUGAGUACAACACUGGGCGGAUGUGCACCAUCAUGAAUUCACCGUGAGUUUCUUUUCUGCGUUCUGCCCCCUGGUGGAGGUGGUGUGGGACCUACGAAACUGAAGAAACUCCGUGGAUUCCGCAGGGUCUCCCUGCUCUACUUCGCGGUGUCCCUAACGUGGACAGUACUGAUAAGGUGGAGGAAGCCACAACAAAUCAUGCACAGCUGGGGUGGUGAGCACUAGUCUCUCUACCAGGGACCCAGAAGAACAAAGACUCUAUGGAUGCAGUGCUCAGAGACCAGAAGACGGCACAGAAUACCCUGGAGCUGGAGUUACAGAAUGCUGUGAAUGGUAAGAUAUCGGGUCCUACUAAAUCUGUACAUCUAAAGAAACUAAUCAAGAGAGAGGACCCUGACUAAAACGCUCAAUCCCCAUCCUGAAAGGCAAAGAGGAUGGACAUCAGAAGAAGAAAACAGGAAACAACCUAGGAACCUGCCACAGAGGGCCUCUGAAAGGCUCUGCCCUGCAGCCUAUCAAAGCAGACACUGAGACUUAUGGGCAACUGUUGGGCAGAGUGCAUGGAAUCUUAUGUAAGAAGUGGGAAAUAGUAAGAUCUGGAGAGGACAGGAACCCCACAAGGAGAGCAACAGAACCAGAAAAUUUGAACACAGGGGUCUUCCCAGAGACUCAUAAUCUAACCAGGUACCAUGCAUGGAGAUAACCUAGAACCCCUGCACAGAUGUAGCCCAUGGCAGUUUAGUGUCCAAGUGGGUUACAUAGUAAUGGCAAGAGGGACUGCCUCUGACAUAAUCUGAUUGGCCUGCUCUUUGAUCACCUCCCCCUGAGGGGGGAGCAGCCUUACCAGGCUAUAGAAGAUGACAAUGCA
Molecule: long non-coding RNA, 1878 nt
Organism: Meriones unguiculatus (Mongolian gerbil)
Lineage: Eukaryota; Metazoa; Chordata; Mammalia; Rodentia; Muridae
Exons: 3
Source: RefSeq, a predicted model, not a curated record